CGCGUAGGCGGCGUGACAAGUCACUUGUGAAAUCUCCGGGCUUAACUCGGAACGGUCAAGUGAUACUGUUGUGCUAGAGUGCAGAAGGGGGCAAUCGGAAUUCUUGGUGUAGCGGUGAAAUGCGUAGAUAUCAAGAGGAACACCUGAGGUGAAGACGGGUUGCUGGGCUGACACUGACGCUGAGGCGCGAAAGCUAGGGUAGCAAACG
Molecule: ribosomal RNA, 208 nt
Filed under: uncultured bacterium
Lineage: Bacteria
Description: partial 16S ribosomal RNA
Rfam family: Bacterial small subunit ribosomal RNA
Source: RNAcentral